ACAUGUGGAGCGCUUAGAAGUGAGAAUGCCGGUGUGAGUAGCGAAAGACGGGUGAGAAUCCCGUCCACCGAUUGACUAAGGUUUCCAGAGGAAGGCUCGUCCGCUCUGGGUUAGUCGGGUCCUAAGCUGAGGCCGACAGGCGUAGGCGAUGGAUAACAGGUUGAUAUUCCUGUACCACCUAUAAUCGUUUUAAUCGAUGGGGGGACGCAGUAGGAUAGGCGAAGCGUGCGAUUGGAUUGCACGUCUAAGCAGUAAGGCUGAGUAUUAGGCAAAUCCGGUACUCGUUAAGGCUGAGCUGUGAUGGGGAGAAGACAUUGUGUCUUCGAGUCGUUGAUUUCACACUGCCGAGAAAAGCCUCUAGAUAGAAAAUAGGUGCCCGUACCGCAAACCGACACAGGUAGUCAAGAUGAGAAUUCUAAGGUGAGCGAGCGAACUCUCGUUAAGGAACUCGGCAAAAUGACCCCGUAACUUCGGGAGAAGGGGUGCUCUUUAGGGUUAACGCCCAGAAGAGCCGCAGUGAAUAGGCCCAAGCGACUGUUUAUCAAAAACACAGGUCUCUGCUAAACCGUAAGGUGAUGUAUAGGGGCUGACGCCUGCCCGGUGCUGGAAGGUUAAGAGGAGUGGUUAGCUUCUGCGAAGCUACGAAUCGAAGCCCCAGUAAACGGCGGCCGUAACUAUAACGGUCCUAAGGUAGCGAAAUUCCUUGUCGGGUAAGUUCCGACCCGCACGAAAGGCGUAACGAUUUGGGCACUGUCUCAACGAGAGACUCGGUGAAAUCAUAGUACCUGUGAAGAUGCAGGUUACCCGCGACAGGACGGAAAGACCCCGUGGAGCUUUACUGUAGCCUGAUAUUGAAAUUCGGCACAGCUUGUACAGGAUAGGUAGGAGCCUUUGAAACGUGAGCGCUAGCUUACGUGGAGGCGCUGGUGGGAUACUACCCUAGCUGUGUUGGCUUUCUAACCCGCACCACUUAUCGUGGUGGGAGACAGUGUCAGGCGGGCAGUUUGACUGGGGCGGUCGCCUCCUAAAAGGUAACGGAGGCGCUCAAAGGUUCCCUCAGAAUGGUUGGAAAUCAUUCAUAGAGUGUAAAGGCAUAAGGGAGCUUGACUGCGAGACCUACAAGUCGAGCAGGGUCGAAAGACGGACUUAGUGAUCCGGUGGUUCCGCAUGGAAGGGCCAUCGCUCAACGGAUAAAAGCUACCCCGGGGAUAACAGGCUUAUCUCCCCCAAGAGUUCACAUCGACGGGGAGGUUUGGCACCUCGAUGUCGGCUCAUCGCAUCCUGGGGCUGUAGUCGGUCCCAAGGGUUGGGCUGUUCGCCCAUUAAAGCGGUACGCGAGCUGGGUUCAGAACGUCGUGAGACAGUUCGGUCCCUAUCCGUCGUGGGCGUAGGAAAUUUGAGAGGAGCUGUCCUUAGUACGAGAGGACCGGGAUGGACAUACCUCUGGUGUACCAGUUGUCGUGCCAACGGCAUAGCUGGGUAGCUAUGUGUGGACGGGAUAAGUGCUGAAAGCAUCUAAGCAUGAAGCCCCCCUCAAGAUGAGAUUUCCC
This 1550-nucleotide ribosomal RNA is filed under the name Staphylococcus aureus. RNAcentral describes it as "partial 23S ribosomal RNA". It matches the Rfam family "Bacterial large subunit ribosomal RNA", at positions 1269 to 2815 of the family's 2925-position model. The record is from RNAcentral. Lineage: Bacteria; Bacillati; Bacillota; Bacilli; Caryophanales; Staphylococcaceae.